RNAcentral lists this ribosomal RNA (1645 nucleotides) under Alternaria alternata. RNAcentral's name for it is "SSU rRNA". It matches the Rfam family "Eukaryotic small subunit ribosomal RNA". Lineage: Eukaryota; Fungi; Ascomycota; Dothideomycetes; Pleosporales; Pleosporaceae. The record is from RNAcentral.
GUAGUCAUAUGCUUGUCUCAAAGAUUAAGCCAUGCAUGUCUAAGUAUAAGCAAUUAUACAGCGAAACUGCGAAUGGCUCAUUAUAUAAGUUAUCGUUUAUUUGAUAGUACCUUACUACUUGGAUAACCGUGGUAAUUCUAGAGCUAAUACAUGCUAAAAAUCCCGACUUCGGAAGGGAUGUAUUUAUUAGAUUAAAAACCAAUGCCCUCUGGGCUCUUUGGUGAUUCAUGAUAACUUCUCGAAUCGCACGGCCUUGCGCCGGCGAUGGUUCAUUCAAAUUUCUUCCCUAUCAACUUUCGAUGUUUGGGUAUUGGCCAAACAUGGUUGCAACGGGUAACGGAGGGUUAGGGCUCGACCCCGGAGAAGGAGCCUGAGAAACGGCUACUACAUCCAAGGAAGGCAGCAGGCGCGCAAAUUACCCAAUCCCGACACGGGGAGGUAGUGACAAUAAAUACUGAUACAGGGCUCUUUUGGGUCUUGUAAUUGGAAUGAGUACAAUUUAAAUCCCUUAACGAGGAACAAUUGGAGGGCAAGUCUGGUGCCAGCAGCCGCGGUAAUUCCAGCUCCAAUAGCGUAUAUUAAAGUUGUUGCAGUUAAAAAGCUCGUAGUUGAAACUUGGGCCUGGCUGGCGGGUCCGCCUCACCGCGUGCACUCGUCCGGCCGGGCCUUCCUUCUGAAGAACCUCAUGCCCUUCACUGGGCGUGCUGGGGAAUCAGGACUUUUACUUUGAAAAAAUUAGAGUGUUCAAAGCAGGCCUUUGCUCGAAUACGUUAGCAUGGAAUAAUAAAAUAGGGCGUGCGUUUCUAUUUUGUUGGUUUCUAGAGACGCCGCAAUGAUUAACAGGAACAGUCGGGGGCAUCAGUAUUCAGUUGUCAGAGGUGAAAUUCUUGGAUUUACUGAAGACUAACUACUGCGAAAGCAUUUGCCAAGGAUGUUUUCAUUAAUCAGUGAACGAAAGUUAGGGGAUCGAAGACGAUCAGAUACCGUCGUAGUCUUAACCGUAAACUAUGCCGACUAGGGAUCGGGCGAUGUUCUUUUUCUGACUCGCUCGGCACCUUACGAGAAAUCAAAGUUUUUGGGUUCUGGGGGGAUUAUGGUCGCAAGGCUGAAACUUAAAGAAAUUGACGGAAGGUCACCACAGGCGGUGGAAGCCUGCGGCUUAAUUUGACUCAACACGGGGAAACUCACCAGGUCCAGAUGAAAUAAGGAUUGACAGAUUGAGAGCUCCUUCUUGAUUUUUCAGGUGGUGGUGCAUGGCCGUUCUUAGUUCGUGGGGUGACUUGUCUGCUUAAUUGCGAUAACGAGCGAGACCUUACUCUGCUAAAUAGCCAGGCUAACUUUGGUUGGUCGCCGGCUUCUUAGAGAGACUAUCAACUCAAGUUGAUGGAAGUUUGAGGCAAUAACAGGUCUGUGAUGCCCUUAGAUGUUCUGGGCCGCACGCGCGCUACACUGACAGAGCCAACGAGUUCUUUUCCUUGUUCGAAAGAAUUGGGUAAUCUUGUUAAACUCUGUCGUGCUGGGGAUAAAGCAUUGCAAUUAUUGCUUUUCAACGAGGAAUGCCUAGUAAGCGCGUGUCAUCAGCAUGCGUUGAUUACGUCCCUGACCUUUGUACACACCGCCCGUCGCUACUACCGAUUGAAUGGGU